UACGAAGGGGGCUAGCGUUGUUCGGAAUUACUGGGCGUAAAGGGCGCGUAGGCGGUGCGGUAAGUCACCUGUGAAACCUCUAGGCUUAACCUAGAGCCUGCAGGCGAAACUGCCGCGCUGGAGUGUGGGAGAGGUGCGUGGAAUUCCCGGUGUAGCGGUGAAAUGCGUAGAUAUCUGCAGGAACACCCGUGGCGAAGGCGGCUGGCUGGACCGCAACUGACGCUGAGGAACGAAAGCUAGGGGAGCAAACAGG
RNAcentral lists this ribosomal RNA (253 nucleotides) under uncultured bacterium. RNAcentral describes it as "partial 16S ribosomal RNA". It matches the Rfam family "Bacterial small subunit ribosomal RNA", at positions 524 to 776 of the family's 1533-position model. The record is from RNAcentral.